UAACACGAUAUGCGGUUCACAGCAGGCAUCUAACGUGAACGAAAUGUGAAGGAGAAGGAUGGGGAUGCGUCUGAUUAGCUUGUUGGCGGGGUAACGGCCCACCAAGGCGACGAUCAGUAGGGGUUCUGAGAGGAAGGUCCCCCACAUUGGAACUGAGACACGGUCCAAACUCCUACGGGAGGCAGCAGUGAGGAAUAUUGGUCAAUGGACGAGAGUCUGAACCAGCCAAGUAGCGUGCAGGAUGACGGCCCUAUGGGUUGUAAACUGCUUUUAUAGGGGGAUAAAGUGUGCCACGUGUGGCAUAUUGCAGGUACCCUAUGAAUAAGGACCGGCUAAUUCCGUGCCAGCAGCCGCGGUAAUACGGAAGGUCCGGGCGUUAUCCGGAUUUAUUGGGUUUAAAGGGAGCGUAGGCCGUCUUAUAAGCGUGUUGUGAAAUGUCGGGGCUCAACCUGGGCAUUGCAGCGCGAACUGUGAGACUUGAGUGCGCAGGAAGUAGGCGGAAUUCGUCGUGUAGCGGUGAAAUGCUUAGAUAUGACGAAGAACUCCGAUUGCGAAGGCAGCCUGCUGUAGCGCAACUGACGCUGAAGCUCGAAAGCGUGGGUAUCGAGCAGGAUUAGAUACCCUGGUAGUCCACGCGGUAAACGAUGGAUGCUCGCUGUUUGCGUUCUGACGUAAGCGGC
RNAcentral lists this ribosomal RNA (680 nucleotides) under uncultured Bacteroidota bacterium. RNAcentral describes it as "bacterial SSU rRNA". It matches the Rfam family "Bacterial small subunit ribosomal RNA", at positions 164 to 847 of the family's 1533-position model. The record is from RNAcentral. Lineage: Bacteria; Pseudomonadati; Bacteroidota.